RNAcentral lists this ribosomal RNA (305 nucleotides) under uncultured bacterium. Its description in RNAcentral is "bacterial SSU rRNA". It matches the Rfam family "Bacterial small subunit ribosomal RNA", at positions 334 to 655 of the family's 1533-position model. The record is from RNAcentral.
UGGGCCUACGGGACGCAGCAGUGAGGGAUAUUGGGCAAUGGGGGAAACCCUGACCCAGCGACGCCGCGUGAGGGAAGACGGUCUUCGGAUUGUAAACCUCUGUCCUUGGGGACGAAAAAGGACGGUACCCAAGGAGGAAGCUCCGGCUAACUACGCGCCAGCAGCCGCGGUAAUACGUAGGGAGCGAGCGUUGUCCGGAAUUACUGGGUGUAAAGGGAGCGUAGGCGGGAUUGCAAGUUGGAUGUGAAAACUGCGGGCUCAACCCGGAGCGUGCAUUCAAAACUGGGAUUCUUGAGUGAAGGAGG